Molecule: ribosomal RNA, 429 nt
Filed under: uncultured bacterium
Lineage: Bacteria
Description: bacterial SSU rRNA
Rfam family: Bacterial small subunit ribosomal RNA
Source: RNAcentral
AUGUGUCAGCCGCCGCGGUAAUACGGAGGCCUCGAGCGUUGUUCGGAAUCACUGGGCUUAAAGCGCGUGUAGGCGGAGCGGUAAGUACUUUGUGAAAUCCCCGGCUUCAAUCCGGGAACUGCUUGGUAUACUGCCGUUCUUGAGGCAGGUAGGGGUCACUGGAACCUUAGGUGGAGCGGUGAAAUGCGUAGAUAUCUAAGGGAACGCCUGUGGCGAAAGCGGGUGACUGGGCCUGACCUGACGCUGAGACGCGAAAGCGUAGGGAGCAAACGGGAUUAGAUACCCCGGUAGUCUACGCCGUAAACGAUGCGCACUAGGUUCGAGUGCCACUGACGGUUCUCGUGCCGAAACAAAAGCGUUAAGUGCGCCGCCUGGGGAGUACGGCCGCAAGGCUAAAACUCAAAGGAAUUGACGGGGGCCCGCACAAGC